GAUGAACGCUGGCGGCGUGCCUAAUACAUGCAAGUCGAGCGAACGGACGAGAAGCUUACUUCUCUGAUGUUAGCGGCGGACGGGUGAGUAACACGUGGAUAACCUACCUAUAAGACUGGGAUAACUUCGGGAAACCGGAGCUAAUACCGGAUAAUAUUUUGAACCGCAUGGUUCAAAAGUGAAAGACGGUCUUGCUGUCACUUAUAGAUGGAUCCGCGCUGCAUUAGCUAGUUGGUAAGGUAACGGCUUACCAAGGCAACGAUGCAUAGCCGACCUGAGAGGGUGAUCGGCCACACUGGAACUGUGACACGGUCCAGACUCCUACGGGAGGCAGCAGUAGGGAAUCUUCCGCAAUGGGCGAAAGCCUGACGGAGCAACGCCGCGUGAGUGAUGAAGGUCUUCGGAUCGUAAAACUCUGUUAUUAGGGAAGAACAUAUGUGUAAGUAACUGUGCACAUCUUGACGGUACCUAAUCAGAAAGCCACGGCUAACUACGUG
RNAcentral lists this ribosomal RNA (497 nucleotides) under uncultured bacterium. Its description in RNAcentral is "partial 16S ribosomal RNA". It matches the Rfam family "Bacterial small subunit ribosomal RNA", at positions 28 to 507 of the family's 1533-position model. The record is from RNAcentral.